Molecule: non-coding RNA, 46 nt
Filed under: Hyella patelloides LEGE 07179
Lineage: Bacteria; Bacillati; Cyanobacteriota; Cyanophyceae; Pleurocapsales; Pleurocapsaceae
Description: Histone3
Rfam family: Histone 3' UTR stem-loop
About the family: The mRNAs of metazoan histone genes lack a poly-A tail.
Source: RNAcentral
AAUGAGGAUUUCAUAAAAUCCACAAAUUAUCAUAAAUAAAUUUCAG